Molecule: ribosomal RNA, 443 nt
Filed under: uncultured Saccharofermentans sp.
Lineage: Bacteria; Bacillati; Bacillota; Clostridia; Eubacteriales; Oscillospiraceae
Description: bacterial SSU rRNA
Rfam family: Bacterial small subunit ribosomal RNA
Source: RNAcentral
CCUACGGGGGGCUGCAGUGGGGAAUAUUGGGCAAUGGGCGAAAGCCUGACCCAGCAACGCCGCGUGAAGGAAGAAGGCCUUUGGGUUGUAAACUUCUUUGAUCAGGGACGAAAAAAAUGACGGUACCUGAAAAACAAGCCACGGCUAACUACGUGCCAGCAGCCGCGGUAAUACGUAGGUGGCAAGCGUUAUCCGGAUUUACUGGGUGUAAAGGGCGUGUAGGCGGUUUAGUAAGUCAGAUGUGAAAUUCCCGGGCUUAACCCGGUAGCUGCAUCUGAAACUACAAAACUUGAGUACUGGAGAGGAUAGUGGAAUUCCUAGUGUAGCGGUAAAAUGCGUAGAUAUUAGGAGGAACACCAGUGGCGAAGGCGACUAUCUGGACAGUAACUGACGCUGAGGCGCGAAAGCGUGGGGAGCAAACAGGAUUAGAUACCCUUGUAGUC